Molecule: transfer RNA, 72 nt
Filed under: Camelus dromedarius (Arabian camel)
Lineage: Eukaryota; Metazoa; Chordata; Mammalia; Artiodactyla; Camelidae
Also listed under: 1 other name
Rfam family: tRNA
About the family: Transfer RNA (tRNA) molecules are approximately 80 nucleotides in length.
Source: Rfam by way of RNAcentral
GCGGGUGUAGCUCAGUGGUAGAGUGCAUGCUUAGCAUGCAUGAGGUCCUGGGUUCAAUCCCUAGUAACUCCA